GUCUCUUCUAUAUAUUAGUAUUGUUUUCUAUAUUUGUGUAGUAGUAUUAAGUAGUUUUCCAACAAAAUUAGGAUUUAAGCUAUUUGAUCAGAGUAGUAGGGUAUCGGUAUAGUUUUGUGAAGGACAAAAUAGUACAGGUUUACACCUAUGUAUAUACAGGUUUACACCUAUGUAUGUACAGGUUUACACCUAUGUAUAUACAGGUUUACACCUAUGUAUAUACCUGCAACUUCGUGUUUUUUUUUUGUUUUUUUUUUUUACAUAUGUCAGACGUAAGAAAAUUUUACUAUCUGCACAUGGCCAUUAUUGAGAGGUUUCA
Pecten maximus is the source of this 319-nucleotide long non-coding RNA. RefSeq lists it as uncharacterized. The record is from RefSeq and is a predicted model, not a curated record. NCBI's taxonomy places the organism in Eukaryota, Metazoa, Mollusca, Bivalvia, Pectinida, Pectinidae. The transcript has 2 exons.